AGUGAGCGGGAUGAGCUCAAAUUUAAAAUCUGGCUGGUUUACUAGUCCGAAUUGUAGUUUAUAGAAGCGUUUUCGGUGGCAGCCUGGGUAUAAAUCCUUUGGAAUAGGGUAUCAUAGAGGGUGAGAAUCCCGUCUUUGACUCAGUGCAUGCUACUAUGUGAUACGUUUUCAAAGAGUCGAGUUGUUUGGGAAUGCAGCUCAAAAUGGGUGGUAAAUUUCAUCUAAAGCUAAAUAUUGGCGAGAGACCGAUAGCGAACAAGUACCGUGAGGGAAAGAUGAAAAGAACUUUGAAAAGAGAGUUAAACAGUGCGUGAAAUUGUUGAAAGGGAAACGCUUGACACCAGUCAUGCGAGUGGAAAAUCAGUCUUUUGCAAUGGGGAGUUGUGGGCGUUCAGACCGCAAGGCUGGCGUUUGCUUCAUCUUUGUUGUAAGUGAUGCACUUUUUCAUUUGCAGGUCAACAUCAGUUUGCUUUGCUGGACAAAACCCCAAGGGAAGGUGGCAGCUUAGGCUGUGUUAUAGCCCUGGGGCGAUACAGUGGAGUGGACUGAGGUUUUCGCAGUGUGUGCUCUCUGGGCAAGGCUGACUGGGUGCUAUGGGAUCGUUCGGCGUACAAUGCAUGCAUUUUGCGUCGUGUCUUUUUCAUACUCGCUCAACUCGGCUCUUCCACACUUAGGAUGUUGACUUAAUGGUUUUAAUCGACCCGUCUUG
Molecule: ribosomal RNA, 709 nt
Filed under: Mortierella sp. FSU 10456
Lineage: Eukaryota; Fungi; Mortierellomycota; Mortierellomycetes; Mortierellales; Mortierellaceae
Also listed under: 1 other name
Description: eukaryotic LSU rRNA
Rfam family: Eukaryotic large subunit ribosomal RNA
Source: RNAcentral